RNAcentral lists this ribosomal RNA (253 nucleotides) under uncultured bacterium. RNAcentral describes it as "partial 16S ribosomal RNA". It matches the Rfam family "Bacterial small subunit ribosomal RNA", at positions 524 to 776 of the family's 1533-position model. The record is from RNAcentral.
UACGAGGGGGGCAAGCGUUGUUCGGAAUUACUGGGCGUAAAGGGCUCGUAGGCGGCCAACUAAGUCGGAUGUGAAAUCCCCAGGCUCAACCUGGGAACUGCAUCCGAUACUGGAUGGCUUGAAUCCGGGAGAGGGAUGCAGAAUUCCAGGUGUAGCGGUGAAAUGCGUAGAUAUCUGGAGGAAUACCGGUGGCGAAGGCGGCAUCCUGGACCGGCAUUGACGCUGAGGAGCGAAAGCUAGGGGAGCAAACGGG